This 358-nucleotide transfer-messenger RNA is filed under the name Acidimicrobiia. RNAcentral describes it as "JACDBD01 sp013695115 Standard tmRNA". It matches the Rfam family "transfer-messenger RNA". From Rfam's summary of the family: Bacterial tmRNA, also known as 10Sa RNA or SsrA, is named for its dual tRNA and mRNA-like properties. Lineage: Bacteria; Bacillati; Actinomycetota. RNAcentral also lists the same sequence under 1 other name. The record is from RNAcentral.
GGGGGUGCGUGGCUUCGAUCCUGGGGAUCGAGGUGGGUGAAGCGAGCCGACGUCCCCGGAUCGUCGUGAAAAAGCCGGGAACACUGAUACACGCCGACGACAACGUCGCGCUCGCUGCCUAACUUCGGUUAGGUAGCGCGUCCGUUCCGGCCCAGCCGCUCGGUCGGAUUGCGGGCGUCAUCUCGAGCGGCUUACCGCCGGGACGGGCCUCGUGGCCCGGCGGGACAUCACAGCGAGGCUGGGGUUGCCGCAGGCCGCCGGCGAGCGGCGGCGACCCGAGAUCUACUCGCCGGCUGCGCUCGGAGAAGCCCCACCGAAGACUCGGGAGACGCGGGUUCGACUCCCGCCACCUCCACUG